Molecule: transfer RNA, 64 nt
Filed under: Chrysomeloidea sp. 8 KM-2017
Lineage: Eukaryota; Metazoa; Arthropoda; Insecta; Coleoptera
Description: tRNA-Arg
Source: RNAcentral
UAAUAAGAAGUGAAAACUCACGUUUAGUUUCGACCUAAAUACUUGAUCGUCUAGAUCCUUAUUA